CUAAAAUAAGCAGGGAAUGGUCACAUCCACUUGAGGGAAGGAAAUAGUCCAAAUGGAAUUGGAGAAAUGAGUGUAGCAUCUUGUUCCAGGUACCAAUAUGCAAAAGAGAACAAAAGAAAAAAUCCAAUAGUGUAGACUGUAUCUUCCGCUUUUUUGUGAGGAUUCAAAGUGAAAAGGUAUCACACUCGCCUAUAUUGGAGCUUGAACUAGCUCAGGUGUACUUCGCAUUCAGUGGUAUUGGUCCCCCACUGGUGGGAUAUAGAUGUAUGCACGUAACGAAGAUCCUCGAGAGAGAAGAGGGUAACAGAAUAGUGCUCACUGUAUACAUGUUGUAAUUACGUAGAAAUAAAAUAUAUAUAGAAUACUCACAUUUAAGUGAGCAGGAUAUACUGCUCACUUGUAUGGCAUAGGUGGUAUAAUCCCCACCUAGGAUUCUUGAACGAAAUGGUGAAUAUAGUGUUUUAGUUGUUUUAUAUUAAGAUAUUUCUGUUUUUAUCUACGGUUG
Molecule: non-coding RNA, 505 nt
Organism: Pelobates cultripes (western spadefoot toad)
Lineage: Eukaryota; Metazoa; Chordata; Amphibia; Anura; Pelobatidae
Source: the annotation of a GenBank genome assembly